GCUGGCAUAGCACAGUCGGUAGUGCGUCGCAUUGGUAGUGCGGAGGUCGCGGGUCCGAUUCCCGCUGCCAGCU
Molecule: transfer RNA, 73 nt
Filed under: Lachnospiraceae bacterium
Lineage: Bacteria; Bacillati; Bacillota; Clostridia; Lachnospirales; Lachnospiraceae
Also listed under: 1 other name
Description: tRNA-Thr
Rfam family: tRNA
About the family: Transfer RNA (tRNA) molecules are approximately 80 nucleotides in length.
Source: RNAcentral